This 253-nucleotide ribosomal RNA is filed under the name uncultured bacterium. RNAcentral's name for it is "partial 16S ribosomal RNA". It matches the Rfam family "Bacterial small subunit ribosomal RNA", at positions 524 to 776 of the family's 1533-position model. The record is from RNAcentral.
UACGUAGGGUGCGAGCGUUAAUCGGAAUUACUGGGCGUAAAGCGUGCGCAGGCGGUCUGUUAAGACAGAUGUGAAAUCCCCGGGCUCAACCUGGGAACUGCAUUUGUGACUGCAUAGCUAGAGUACGGUAGAGGGGGAUGGAAUUCCGCGUGUAGCAGUGAAAUGCGUAGAUAUGCGGAGGAACACCGAUGGCGAAGGCAAUCCCCUGGACCUGUACUGACGCUCAUGCACGAAAGCGUGGGGAGCAAACAGG